Molecule: ribosomal RNA, 504 nt
Filed under: Hiplyra platycheir
Lineage: Eukaryota; Metazoa; Arthropoda; Malacostraca; Decapoda; Leucosiidae
Description: partial 16S ribosomal RNA
Rfam family: Archaeal large subunit ribosomal RNA
Source: RNAcentral
CUGGCCUGCUCACUGACGUAAAUUAAAGAGCUGCGGUAUUUUGACUGUACAAAGGUAGCAUGAUCAUUAGUUUUUUAAUUAGAAACUUGUAUGAAUGGUUUGACAAAAUAAAAAUUGUCUCUUUUGUUAAAAUAAAACUUAACUUUUAAGUGAAAAGGCUUAAAUAAAUCAAAGAGACGAUAAGACCCUAUAAAGCUUGAUAUUUGCAUUUAUUUUAAAAAUUUUACAUAAUUAUAAAAUUAAAUAGACAUUUAUUUGACUGGGGCGGUAUAUAAAUAAUUUUUGGCAACUUUGUAAAUUUAAAACAUAUUGUAUGAAAAGUAGUAAUAAUUGAUCUUUUUUAAAAAUUUAAAGGAAAGUUACUUUAGGGAUAACAGCGUUAUUUUUUUUGAGAGCUCAUAUCGAAAAAAAAGAUUGCGACCUCGAUGUUGAAUUAAAAAUUCUCUAUAGUGUAGCAGCUAUGAAAGAAGGUCUGUUCGACCUUUAAAAUUUUACGUGAUCUGA